RNAcentral lists this transfer RNA (74 nucleotides) under Myxococcales bacterium. RNAcentral describes it as "tRNA-Val". RNAcentral also lists the same sequence under 1 other name. Lineage: Bacteria; Pseudomonadati; Myxococcota; Myxococcia; Myxococcales. The record is from RNAcentral.
GCGGGACGUGUUCGUCUGGUGACGACGCCACCCUCACGAGGUGGAGCAGCCGAGUUCGAUCCUCGGGUCCCGCA